UGUUCCUCCACGCUGUCGUCGAGACUCAACACUGAAGAGUGAAGACUGCCUCGGUGCCUCCUCGUCGCCCAUCGGCUGCCUCCUGUCCUCCCAGUCGCCGUCGCCCAUCGGCUGCCUCCUCCAUUGACCAGUCCUCCCAGUCGCCGUCGCCCAUUGGCUGCCUCCUCCAUUGACCAGUCCUCCCAGUCGCCGUCGCCCAUCGGCUGCCUCCUCCGGUCAUCCCAGUCGACCGUCAUCGUCGCCCAUCAGCUGUCUCCCAGUCCCCACCCAUCAGAUAUACCACUUGGCUGUCAUCUGGACUUGCUGUACGUCAGAAGGGUACUUCGAGCUCAGGUGCUGGUUCUGAAUGGGGUCUUGUUCCAGCCUAGAUGAUUUUAUUUAUGUAAGUCAGGUUCUCAAAUAACUUUUCUUUGAGUAUUGCUUGCUAAGUUUGUUCUAGUGAGAUGUUCACUUACUGAGUUUUAGGCAAAUUGCUGUUACUAUCUCCACGAAAUACCUGCUGUCAGGCUUUUGUUUUUGGUUAAUCUAGAUGUACAAUAGCCGCUACAUAGGAUCGAUUGCUUGGGUUUGCAUUUAACAGUCUGGCUUACUUAUUUGACUAAACGGAUCUAGAUUUUGGCCAGUUCAGUGUUGAAGGCAUGCCAUACUGUAGAGACAAUAGUUAUAAUAAUCUUGCAUUAUUUGUUUGUGUGUGUGUUUGUCUAUGUGCAUUUGGAUUUUGGGGGAUAAGCGGGAGAGAGAGAAAGAGAGGGGUGUCUGCUUUAUAAGUGUUGUGUUAUCAAAUUUUACGCAGGAAGUUCCUUUAGCUGAAGAUAGGAUGAAUUUUAAUAAGUGGAAUUUUUCUGUUUUGAACUUCCAAGUGUUGAAUGACAUUGGUGUUCUAGUCUCUGAAAUUACUAGUGAAUUUUUGGAGAAAGUGUUUUUGGAGAAAGUGCUUCAGCUUCUUGCAUCCUGUCCUGUUGAAGUGGAGGUUAGUUAAUCUUCUCUUGUUUUCAUAUGUUUGUUUCUUUCAACAAGUUGCAACUUAUUUUAUCUUAGCUAUUAUUUAUCAAAAGUUUCAAUAAGUCCGUUCCUAUGAUAUUGUGCAUCUUAAUGGUCAUUUUUAUUGUUUUGGUUAUUUACAUGUGUCAUUUCAACUUAUGUCCUGGUUCUUUUGAUAAAAAAUAUUGUCCAACUUCUAAUAUGGAAUCAGUCGAAUCAUCUACCGAGAGAGAAGUUGUCUCCAAGAGAAAAAUGACUUCAAAAGUAUAGAUUGAUUUUAUAUUGGUUACAUAUAAAGGAGAAGAGUUUGCCAAAUGUAAACAUUGUGGAGAACGACUGAAAGCAAGCAGUGCUCAUGGAACUAGCCAUUUAAGUCGACAUAAUAAAUCUUGUUUAAAUAGGCAAAUAAAUGAAGGAAAGCAAAGAACUUUAUCACUUGCAGUUAAUGACUCUAGUGCAACUUCUAUAGGUAUACAAAAAUUUGACAUGGAGUCUAUAAGAAAGUUGAUGUCAAAGUGUGUAAUAACACAUGAGCUUUCGUUCAAUUUGGCAGAAUAUAAAUAUCAUAACAAACUUCUACAAGCUUGCAACCAUAAGUUCGUUCCAUUUUCUAGAAGAAUUUUGAAAAGAGAAAUUAUGUCAGUACAAGACUGAGAAAGCCCGACUUGAAGAAUUUAUAAAUGAUUCUACGCAGCGAGUUUCAUUGACAUUUGAUAUGUGGACUUCACAGCAGACAUUGGGUUAUCUAUGCGUGACAGGACAAUAUGUUGAUAGAUAUUGAAAGUUGCAUGCUCACAUGUUCAGUUUUGUACAUGUACCUCCACCACAUAAUGCAAAUAGUUUGUGUGAGGCUUUAUUAGAAUGCAUCUCUAAAUGGAACAUUCAAUCAAAGUUAUUUUCUAUUACUGCUGACAAUUGUUCGACGAAUGAUAGUACAAUAACUACACUGAAAAGGAACUUAGGAAGAAGAAAUCUUAUUCCAAAAUAUAUUAUCUUGAUGAAAGGCAAAUGAAAGUAAAUAUAGAGUUUUAUCCAAAAUGGCUUGAGAUAUCUUGGUAGUCCUUAUAUCCAUAGUUGCAUCUGAGUAUGCAUUCAGUACAGCUAGAAGAAUCAUUAAUGAUUAUCGAUGUUCAACAACUCCUGAAACUGUUGAAGUACUAGUUUGCACACAGAGUUGGAUUCGUGAUGAAGAUAUCCCAUGUGAAACUUUUGAAGAUAAGGAAGAAUCUUCUGGUGACAAAUUAGCAUGAAUUAUAUUUCAUUGUGUGAAAACACAUAUGAAGGAGAAGGAUGUCACAUAACAAAGCUUGAUCAGAUUUUGCUCAAUGGAAAGACAACGCAUAUGUUGCUUUUGUUUGCUCAGCCCUCAUAAUAUAUAUGUAGCAUGCUAUGUGGGUGGGAUUUGUACUCUUUUCCUGCCUUGGUUGUUAAGGUGGUUUGAGAUCUUGUAAGUUUGGAAAGGAAGAUAUCAUGUGCUGUCUGGAUAGCUGGUAUUAUCACUAAUAUGGAGAUACAGUGUUCAAUCAUGUACUUUAACACUAUUGGAAAACAAUUGCACAUGCUUAUGGAUUUCUUUUAUACUAAGACUGCUUUGCUUUGUACUUGGGUUCUAAACGUAGAUGCUAUUAUGUUCUUGAUUUUGUGGAGCUUUAAAAUACUUCAUGAGUCCGUACUCUACGCCCAUGUAACUAUGUAAGG
Long non-coding RNA from Nymphaea colorata (pocket water lily), 2679 nucleotides. RefSeq lists it as uncharacterized. Lineage: Eukaryota; Viridiplantae; Streptophyta; Magnoliopsida; Nymphaeales; Nymphaeaceae. The record is from RefSeq and is a predicted model, not a curated record. The transcript is spliced from 4 exons.